Molecule: transfer RNA, 67 nt
Filed under: Laparocerus freyi
Lineage: Eukaryota; Metazoa; Arthropoda; Insecta; Coleoptera; Curculionidae
Description: tRNA-Ser
Source: RNAcentral
GAAAUAUGAGAUUCAGAUGAAAGCUUCUAACUUUCCCCCUAAGCGGCGCACCUCCGUUUAUAUUUCU